RNAcentral lists this ribosomal RNA (607 nucleotides) under Streptococcus mitis. RNAcentral describes it as "bacterial SSU rRNA". It matches the Rfam family "Bacterial small subunit ribosomal RNA", at positions 63 to 658 of the family's 1533-position model. Lineage: Bacteria; Bacillati; Bacillota; Bacilli; Lactobacillales; Streptococcaceae. The record is from RNAcentral.
UCCGCUGAAGGAGGAGCUUGCUUCUCCGGAUGAGUUGCGAACGGGUGAGUAACGCGUAGGUAACCUGCCUGGUAGCGGGGGAUAACUAUUGGAAACGAUAGCUAAUACCGCAUAAGAGUAGAUGUUGCAUGACAUUUGCUUAAAAGGUGCAAUUGCAUCACUACCAGAUGGACCUGCGUUGUAUUAGCUAGUUGGUGGGGUAACGGCUCACCAAGGCGACGAUACAUAGCCGACCUGAGAGGGUGAUCGGCCACACUGGGACUGAGACACGGCCCAGACUCCUACGGGAGGCAGCAGUAGGGAAUCUUCGGCAAUGGACGGAAGUCUGACCGAGCAACGCCGCGUGAGUGAAGAAGGUUUUCGGAUCGUAAAGCUCUGUUGUAAGAGAAGAACGAGUGUGAGAGUGGAAAGUUCACACUGUGACGGUAUCUUACCAGAAAGGGACGGCUAACUACGUGCCAGCAGCCGCGGUAAUACGUAGGUCCCGAGCGUUGUCCGGAUUUAUUGGGCGUAAAGCGAGCGCAGGCGGUUAGAUNAGUCUGAAGUUAAAGGCUGUGGCUUAACCAUAGUACGCUUUGGAACUGUUUAACUUGAGUGCAAGAGGGGA